CCUACGGGGUGCAGCAGUCGAGAAUCAUUCACAAUGGGGGAAACCCUGAUGGUGCGACGCCGCGUGGGGGAAUGAAGGUCUUCGGAUUGUAAACCCCUGUCAUGUGGGAGCAAAUUAAAAAGAUAGUACCACAAUAGGAAGAGACGGCUAACUCCGUGCAAGCAGCCGCGGUAAUACAGAGUCCUCAGGCCUUGUUCGGAAGCACUGGGCGUAAAGCGUGCGUAGGCGGUUUCUGAAGUGUUGUGUGAAAGGCGCGGGCCCAACCCGCGGACGGCCCAUGAUACUGCGAGACUAGAGUAAUGGAGGGGGAACCGGAAUUCGCGGUGUAGCAGUGAAAUGCGUAGAUAUCGAGAGGAACACUCGUGGCGAAGGCGGGUUCCUGGACAUUAACUGACGCUGAGGCACGAAGGCCAGGGGAGCGAAAGGGAUUAGAUACCCCAGUAGUC
RNAcentral lists this ribosomal RNA (446 nucleotides) under uncultured bacterium. Its description in RNAcentral is "partial 16S ribosomal RNA". It matches the Rfam family "Bacterial small subunit ribosomal RNA", at positions 338 to 795 of the family's 1533-position model. The record is from RNAcentral.